This 953-nucleotide ribosomal RNA is filed under the name Umbilicaria pseudocinerascens. Its description in RNAcentral is "partial large subunit ribosomal RNA". It matches the Rfam family "Bacterial large subunit ribosomal RNA", at positions 863 to 1711 of the family's 2925-position model. The record is from RNAcentral. Lineage: Eukaryota; Fungi; Ascomycota; Lecanoromycetes; Umbilicariales; Umbilicariaceae.
AACCUAUAUAGUAGUAUUAUAUACAUCAUAGCAGUACAGAAUGUGUUUGUACAACUUGCACUUAAAAAGUGCUUUUUGUUUACGUUCGGGGGGAUCGUGAAGAUCUUACUUGCAAGUUUUUGUGCUCGGAAGGGUUAUGAUGACUAUAUAAUAAUCAGACAUAGUAUGCUAAGGUAGUAUGUCUAAAGGGAAACAGCCCAGAACAAGAGUUAAUAAGGUUCCAAAAUUAUUGUUAAGUGAAAAUAAGGAAGUUUCAAUCAAAAAUGCCCAGGAAAUAGACUUAGACGCGGCCAUUUUUUAAAGACCUCGUAACAGAGCACUGGUUCAGUAAAUUAUUUUAAUAAUUUAUAUUGAUAAAAGCACCGAAAAUUUAACGGAUCUAAACAAUAUACCGAGACCUUGUCCAUAUUUAUAUAUAUAUCUAAGUUGUAUAUUGUAUUUAUGGGGUAGCAGAACAUUGGGCAAACCUCAGAUUUUUUUCUUUUUAAGACUUAAGAUAAGAUAACCCAAGUGAUAAUGCUGACAUGAGUAACGAUAAAGGGAAUGAGUUAUUCCCUCGCCUAAAACUUAUGGUAUUUACUUAAAGUAACGGCCUCUAAGUUUAUGAACCUAAAGGACUAAACGAUGAGAAAAUCUUCCACUUUUUUCUUUUUUUCUAUUUUUAUCGCUAUUUUUUUCUCGUUUUACUCUUGUAAAAGAAAAAACGAAGGGAUAAAAAACGAAAAAGAAAAAAAGCAAAAUGCAAAAAAACAACCUUAAGGCUAGACUUAUAAAGCUAUAGGUUUAGUGCUAGUGCUGAAGUGAAAAGGUUCUGGAAAAUUUUAAGUGGUGCAUCAUGGAUAAUGGGGAGGAGGAAAUCUCCUGCCUGCUAUGGUGUAAAAACACCGUACCUAGAAACUACCCCAGUAAGUUAGUAGAGAUACGAAGGCGUUUGAGUGAACAAUCAUUAAGGA